Molecule: RNA transcript, 5015 nt
Organism: Scatophagus argus
Lineage: Eukaryota; Metazoa; Chordata; Actinopteri; Scatophagidae
Gene: pacsin3
Gene name: protein kinase C and casein kinase substrate in neurons 3
Exons: 11
Source: RefSeq, a predicted model, not a curated record
AAUAGGAUGAAUGGAUAUUGUGGUGAGCAGCAUCUGAUUACACAGACGCCAGUAGGCACCGGAGGGGGAAGACGCUCGUUGUCCAACAGCCGAAACUGCUUCUUCAUUCCCCCGUGAGGAAGUCAAACACACUUCACCUGUGAGGGUUUAACUUGAACGUGAAGUACAGCUUCACUGUUUUAACCGAGCGCAGGAACAAAACCCCGCAGCGACGGUUAUCUUGUGAAGGAGAGCGGAGGGCUUCACGGCGGAUCUUCUCAUCGUGUAAAUGGCUGAGGGGGGCCGACGGGUGACAGCGGAGUAAACUUACAAAAUGUCGCAGUUUGUGGAGGCUUAGAAGAGGACCCAAAGUGGCGUGUUUUUAACGAAGAUUCACGCCUGAGUGUUAAUCCGUCUGUCUGACAGGAGAGGCGGUCAGACCGAAGAAGAAGUGCGGCAGCAGCUCCUGCAGGAUUUUGGUUUGUUUCUCCAGUUAGGAGCGAAACAGGCCCGCGGAGACAGAGGCUGUCUUCUGUUUGGACAUCUGUCCGUCUCUGUUUUCGUCUCUGCUAAGUCUUUCUUGUAGCCGCCAUCAUUCCGUGCUGUAAGGCCGACCCCAAAAUGUCUUCCAAUGGAGACCUCAGCGAGGUGGGCAGCUCGGACAGCUUCUGGGAGCCCGGGAACUACAAACGGACGGUGAAGCGGAUAGACGACGGCCACCGGCUGUGUAACGAGCUCGUCAGCUGCUUCCAGGAGAGGGCGAAGAUAGAGAAAAGCUACGCUGUGCAGCUGAGCGACUGGGCCAAGAGGUGGAGGAGCGUGGUGGAGAAAGGUCCUCAGUAUGGUACGCUGGAGAAAGCCUGGCAUGCCUUCAUGCAGGCGGCCGAUCGGCUCAGCGAGCUGCAUCUGGAGCUGCGGGAGCGUCUGGCGGACGAGGACAGCGAGAAGAUGCGCAAAUGGCAGAAGGAAGCUUUCCACAAGCAAAUGAUGGGGGGCUUCAGGGAGACCAAGGAUGCAGACGACGGCUUCCGCAAAGCACAGAAACCCUGGGUCCGCAAGCUGAGAGAGGUGGAGUCCAGUAAGAAGAGCUACCAUCAGGCCAAGAAGGAGGAGUGGACGGCCAUUACCAGGGAAACGCACGCCAAGGCCGACCCGACCAAGUCACAGGAGGAAGUCCGCAAAUACAUGGCCCGGGUGGAGCGCUGCAACCAGGAGGCUGAGAAGGCGAAGGAGCGCUACACGAAGGCCCUGGAGGAGCUGAACCGCUGUAACCCGCGCUACAUGGAGGACAUGGAGCAGGUGUUCGACCUCACCCAGGAGGCCGAACGCAACAGGCUGCGCUUCUUCAAAGAAGUCCUGCUGGACAUCCACACACACCUGGACCUGUCUGCCAAAGAAGGGUUCAGAAGUCUGUACCGGGACCUCGGUCAGACCAUCCAGGUCGCCAGCGACACCGAAGACCUCCGAUGGUGGAGGAACACCCACGGACCGGGCAUGAGCAUGAACUGGCCACAGUUUGAGGAGUGGUCUCCAGAGGCGAGUCGCUCUAUCAGCAGGAAGGAGCGAGGUGGACAAUCUGAGGAAAACGUGGUCACCCUCACCAACAUCGUCUCCUCAGGUGGAGACGAUGUCCCGCCAAGUCCCAUCACCCUGAACACCGACAGGGUUAAAGAUUACUCGUCAGACUGGUCAGACGACGACAGUCCUAAGAAGGUGCUGGCGGUGAACGGCGUGGGGGAGGCGGAGGACGAGGAGGAUCAGGUAGAGGGUGUGCGAGUCCGAGCGCUCUAUGAUUACGCGGGCCAGGAGGAGGAUGAGCUCAGCUUUAAAGCAGGUAUUAACACUUACUAAUGCUUCUGGAGGAGAGGCAUCACAGGGGAGGACUCUGAUGUUUGUGCGAAUGAAAAAUCAAAACUCACAAAACAUCAAGCGCUAAACUUUCUGUGGCGACGUCCAUGGAGAAGCACAAGAUGUUUGCCGUGUCAGCCUCGUGAUGCCUCGUUUUAACACACUCACACACACACACUCACACACACACUCACACACACACUCAUGUCCCUGUCACCGUUUCAGACAUGAGGACUGAUGACCAAAGGCAGUAAGGCUGUGAUGUGAUGAGGACACACACCUGUUGCACCUUACCUGCGUGUCAGCUGCUCGCGAUCAUUUUCACAAACCUUUUCAGAUGUAACACUGCUGAUAACAUGAGACGCCUCUGGAUGCUGAGGAGGUCUGAUUGAAAAUAAAAGCAUUUUGAAUCAGAACAGGUUGAUGCUUUUAUUUUGGUGGAUCUCAAAAUGAAAGACUCGACUUGAUGAAACACUUAAACCGUCUCACUCAGGUGUUCGUGUUGGAACUGAAACCUGUUCUGAGUGGUUUUAUCAGCCUGAAUGUGUUUCAUCCUAAGCUGAGGGAUUAUCAGCAUAAUCCCUCAGGUGUGUUAUUGACUCGUUUGUCAGGUAAGUUUGGUGAAAACCCAGAAUGAUAAAAGACUUCAGCUCAUCAGUGUCAUUUGUUGUUUGGGGAGUCACUUUUUAUAUUCGCUGUAUUCACAUGUAGUAUUGACAGUCAGGUACAGAUUUGUUUUUCUUUUCGGUGCAAGUAAUCUGAAUCAGCUGUUUUUGUUGUCACCAGUUUCUUACUCAGCAGAUUGUGUUUAAAACUUUUUGAUUUUGCUCACGUGGAUUCACCACAGUCUCGACCUUUUUUAGAUGUCACAUGACAGGAAAAAACUGCCAACAGGAAGUCGCAGCAUUUGGUUAUGUUUGAAUCAUUUACCAUUUUGCACAUCAUUUAUUUGCCCAAACAAAGCUGUAAGAGGAGGGAAGACACCUGUAGCAUAUCUCUAACACACCCAGAGUCAAAGACAGAUGUCCUGCCCUGGUGGGACAAUAAGGUCCGUCUGACUUGGACAGAGAAAGACCAGACUCCAAACAGGGAGCCUCUGUGGAGCUUGAGUCCGUCCCCUGUGGGGGGUUGAGCCUCGUGGGGGUUUAGAGAGACGCCGAGUUAAUGGGACCUGAUGGGACCACAGAGCGAGACACCUCAGUUUGGAAAAGCUUAGCUGAGCUCAGCUCUGCUUAGCCUGACACCAGGCGAGGAGCUGCUGAAGAUGGGGGAGGAGGACGAGCAGGGCUGGUGUAAAGGACAGCUGAGCAGCGGCCAGGUCGGCCUCUACCCCGCCAACUACGUCCAGGUGGUCGCUUCCUGACGGGCCGCCCUCUCUGAUCACCCAGCCAAUGGUACAACUACACUCAAGAUGCCAGGACCAAUUAAAAGCUACUAGUGCUGACGUGUAGACGCGCCCUCGUGAAACCGGACAGUUUUUUGGUUACUGACUUUAAAACUCGUCGUCUGUUUGUUGUGUUUUUUUUUUCUGUUGUUUGAGCUGCGUUUUGGGAAAAACCAGCCAGUGGAAAAGUCCACAUGUUGUGAACGGCUGCGUACUCGGCCUGAGGUCAACGGCAUUGUUGUUGAAAGAAGCUUCACAGGCGACGAGAGGCCUGCCAGCAUGAACAGACUGCAGAAAAACACGCACGGAGAUCUGGGACGUCACCCAUCGAUUUCUGUCUCGGUUUUCCACUCGCUUCUGUCAUUUUUAGUCACUAAAGUCAGACAAUCUGCAUUUAAUCAAAGAAUACAAAGCCUGGCGUAGAACUGAGCUGGGAUGAGCAGCAGUGAGCGAACCACCACGCCGGAUUGUGAUUGGCUGAAAUGUUUGUCAGUCAACCAAACGCACCCCAAAUUAUACUUCUUUUUAAAGAAAUAAUUUGGCAUUUUUGAUAAAUACGCUUAUUUGCUUUCAUGCAGUUAGAUGAGAUCGACACCACUGUCACAAACCAUCAGUACAACAGAUUAACUGCCGUUUUAGUAAAUAUGUUUCAUCAAAAGUUGCAAGCUUGUGUACCUAAAAACUUCAAGGUAAAAGUUAAAUGCAGCGUUUUGGUGUGAAGCAUCCAAUUACGAGCAUUAAACUGAUAAGCUAACAGUGGAUAGAAGCUAAAGAUAACAGAGAUAGAGAUAACAAUCCUCCACCGUGAAUGAGUGUACUUCGCAGAAUCUUUUCAGCCUUAGUUUUCACCAUUAUAUAAAUAAACUCAUUGAGAGAAGGCAAAUAAACUUUUUGAAUUUUGAUUGAAAAGUUAGGACUUUUACAGUAGAUUUAGUGGCCAUUAGAGGAACUGCAGCUGGAGGCGCCUCCUCAUCUCCGCUCAGCUGUGUUUGCUGGUAGGGUGAAAACAAAACAAAACAAAAUGAAAAACUGAACAGUGCCUUAGUCAGUGAGGGCAGAAGCGUCACAGCGCCGCCCUGCUGUCUGCCCGAGGAAUAACAGCCGUCUGCUGCUGACCAGCUCCAGUCUGAUCCCAGGAGAAACCAGCAGAUCUGCUGUUACGUGGACUUUAAAUGUUCUUCCUUUGAUUGGCUGUAAACCUUUGCUGCCCCGUCCUGGUUUAGCUCAACGACACUACGCUUCGGUUAAUCUGUAGAUUUUCAGGCAAGACACCCGAUUCACUUCACUUUCUUUCCUUUUUUUUUUUAACGUUUAGUCGUACGUUUAUAUUAAGUCAAGUGUUUUUGAGUGCAGACGUUGCAAACUGUUGCUGUCUGUUCCUUUCUUUCUUUUUUAAAAAUAGUGUUUUUACAGCCAGCUUGUUUGCUUUCUAAUUUAUUUUCCUCUUGUAAUUUAGCAGUCGUUCUUCAGCCCGGACUGACCGAGGCCAGAGAGUAAAGCCGACUGUUAGAUCCUUAUAGCCUGAUGGUUGCUGAUCCCAGCACAGCAAAAGCAACAUGCAAAAGAAGUGCUGAUAUUUUGUGCGGUUUGGGCUUUUCAUGUUUCUGUGUGUGCAGGAGCCUCCACUGUCCUGCUGGUGUUGGCAUCAGUGCAGCUUAACCCGCCUAGGAAUCUGAAUGAUGAUGAUAGAGAAAUUAACGCCGCUGUGCUUCUCCUUUUUAUUCUUUUUCCCUUUUCUUUGCAAAACUGUAACAUGUUCAGCACAUUCAGUGGGAAGCAACAAUAAAGAGCUUUCUGCAUUCUG